Molecule: ribosomal RNA, 280 nt
Filed under: uncultured bacterium
Lineage: Bacteria
Description: partial 16S ribosomal RNA
Rfam family: Bacterial small subunit ribosomal RNA
Source: RNAcentral
AACGAACGCUGGCGGCAUGCUUAACACAUGCAAGUCGAACGAGACCUUCGGUCUAGUGGCGCACGGGUGCGUAACGCGUGGGAAUCUGCCCUUAGGUACGGAAUAACUCAGAGAAAUUUGUGCUAAUACCGUAUGAUGUCGAAAGACCAAAGAUUUAUCGCCUAAGGAUGAGCCCGCGUAAGAUUAGCUUGUUGGUGAGGUAAAAGCUCACCAAGGCGACGAUCUUUAGCUGGUCUGAGAGGAUGACCAGCCACACUGGGACUGAGACACGGCCCAGACU